GGCCUCAGCUCUGGGCCUCUUAAAGAUUCUCCCCACCUGGCUCACCCCUGAAGCUAGACCCAGACAAGCCCUCAACCUCCCAAACCGAAACAGAGGAAAGAACAGGACCCACUGCCAGCUUCUCCAGCCUUUUGGCACAUGGACGGUGCUUCAGGAACGCUUCCACUGGAUCCUCGCUGCGGGCGCCUCCCGGCCGGGAGCUUUCAGGAAGGAAGGCCCGGCCAGGGCAGCCUGCACAGCCCCUGUCUAUGCCCAGCGCAGGGUCACCUCUGCAGAAACCUGGACCCAGACCUCAGGCUGGUCUCCACUUAGGUCUCAUUUGUGCCACAUCUCCUGGGCUGUUCCUCAGAGACAGUGCGAGUCCAGGUAAUGGAACCUCUACCCUCCCCUGUCUUUCGGUGUCGGAGAGCGUGAGUGAGGCUCCGGAGAGUGGGAGCCGGGCCGCACGUGCACAUGGAGCCGCAGAGGGAGGAGGGACAGCAGGCUUCUCCCUGGCCAGAGCGGUGAGGACACAUCUCACACGCACCUCCAUCCUGCAGAGCGAGUGGCCGGCCGGCCUCCCUCGCCUGGAUCACAGCGGCAGGUGACACGCCCAGAAGCCCUCCUCUGCACCCGAUGGGGCAGCCCUGGGCUGGAGGUCCCCUCAGCCACCCACCGUGGCCGCCGGAACUGCGGGGGGAAAAUCACCAGGCCAAAGGAAGUCAAUGAUUUCAGCAAACGGAAUUUCUUUGUCCUUCGUAAAAGUCAACACAUGAUCUGUUCCUGAUUGGGAUGUGAAAUAAAACUAAAAAUAACAGCA
RNA transcript from Myotis brandtii (Brandt's bat), 799 nucleotides. RefSeq lists it as uncharacterized. The record is from RefSeq and is a predicted model, not a curated record. NCBI's taxonomy places the organism in Eukaryota, Metazoa, Chordata, Mammalia, Chiroptera, Vespertilionidae. The transcript has 5 exons.